AGAGUUUGAUCCUGGCUCAGAACAAACGCUGGCGGCGUGCCUAACACAUGCAAGUCGUACGUGAAAGUCCGUUUCGGCGGGCGAGUAAAGUGGCGCACGGGUGAGUAACGCGUGGAUAAUCUGCCCCUCAGUCGGGAAUAACUCAUCGAAAGGUGGGCUAAUACCCGAUAAUGCUGCUUCUACUUUGGUGGAGCAGCCAAAGAGAGCCUCUGUUUACAUGCCCUCACUGAAGGAUGAGUCCGCGUACCAUUAGCUAGUUGGUGGGGUAACGGCCUACCAAGGCGACGAUGGUUAGCUGGUCUGAGAGGAUGAUCAGCCACACUGGAAYUGAGACACGGUCCAGACUCCUACGGGAGGCAGCAGUGAGGAAUCUUGCGCAAUGGGGGAAACCCUGACGCAGCAACGCCGCGUGAGUGAGGAAGGUUUUCGGAUCGUAAAGCUCUGUCGGGUGGAAAGAAAUGCAUGGGGGUUAAUACCCCUCAUGCUUGACGGUACCACCAGAGGAAGCACCGGCUACUCCGUGCCAGCAGCCGCGGUAAUAC
This 542-nucleotide ribosomal RNA is filed under the name uncultured Syntrophaceae bacterium. Its description in RNAcentral is "bacterial SSU rRNA". It matches the Rfam family "Bacterial small subunit ribosomal RNA", at positions 8 to 526 of the family's 1533-position model. Lineage: Bacteria; Pseudomonadati; Thermodesulfobacteriota; Syntrophia; Syntrophales; Syntrophaceae. The record is from RNAcentral.